This 556-nucleotide ribosomal RNA is filed under the name Talaromyces marneffei. Its description in RNAcentral is "eukaryotic LSU rRNA". The stretch from base 195 to 348 matches the Rfam family "5.8S ribosomal RNA". The record is from RNAcentral. Lineage: Eukaryota; Fungi; Ascomycota; Eurotiomycetes; Eurotiales; Trichocomaceae.
UGCGGAAGGAUCAUUACCGAGUGCGGGCCCUCGCGGCCCAACCUCCCACCCGUGUCUCUCUCUACCUGUUGCUUUGGCGGGCCCACCGGGGCCACCCGGUCGCCGGGGGACGUCCGUCUCCGGGCCCGCGCCCGCCGAAGCGCCCUGUGAACCCUGAUGAAGAUGGGCUGUCUGAGUCGCAUGAAAAUUGUCAAAACUUUCAACAAUGGAUCUCUUGGUUCCGGCAUCGAUGAAGAACGCAGCGAAAUGCGAUAAGUAAUGUGAAUUGCAGAAUUCCGUGAAUCAUCGAAUCUUUGAACGCACAUUGCGCCCCCUGGCAUUCCGGGGGGCAUGCCUGUCCGAGCGUCAUUUCUGCCCUCAAGCGCGGCUUGUGUGUUGGGCGUGGUCCCCCCGGGGACCUGCCCGAAAGGCAGCGGCGACGUCCGUCCGGUCCUCGAGCGUAUGGGGCUCUGUCACUCGCUCGGGACGGAUCGGCGGAGGUUGGUCACCACCACAGUUUUACCACGGUUGACCUCGGAUCAGGUAGGAGUUACCCGCUGAACUUAAGCAUAUCAAA